AUACCCCCUGUUUAUAGCCUCCACAUUGACUCUGUACCGGUACCCCCUGUAUAUAGCCUCCACAUUGACUCUGUACCCCCUGUAUAUAGCCUCCACAUUGACUCUGUACCGGUACCCCCUGUAUAUAGCCUCCACAUUGACUCUGUUCCGGUACCCCCUGUAUAUAGCCUCCACAUUGACUCUGUACCGGUACCCCCUGUAUAUAGCCCCGCUAUUGUUAUUCUCUGCUGGUCUUUAAUUAUUUGUUUUUCUUAAUGACAUUUUUUGGGUAUUUUCUUAAAACUGCAUUGUUGGUUAAGGGCUUGUAAGUAAGCAUUUCACUGUAAGGUUGGGGGUACCUGUUGUAUUCGGCGCCUGUGACAAAUACAAUUUGAUUUGAUUUGGUUCGAUUCCAGGCUGUAUCACAACCGGCCGUGAUUGGGAGUCCUAUAGGGCGGCGCACAAUUGGCCCAGCAUCGUCCGGGUUAGGGUUUGGCCAGGGUAGGCCGUCAUUGUAAAUACGAAUUUGUUCUUAACUGACUUGCCGAGUUAAACAAAAAAAUUGACAUUGGCAUAUCCACUUUAGCUAAUCAUGACUACCCCCUGUGCUUAACCAUUCUAAAAUGAUGAGGCUGAGGAGAGAAAUAAAAGAAUAAGGGUAAAGCAGUGUGAAACUUAAUUUAUAUCGAGAGAGUGAGAGUUCUUUAUUUAAGCAGCCCAGUGAUUAGCAUGGGUGUAGAUUGUGCAAAAUGUGACUGGGGGGAGGAACAGGUUCAUGAAGUGACUUGGUUUCUUAUUCACUGACUAGGUAUUGUAUGCCCUCAUGAAAAGACACUAAGACCAACACACUAGUUUUAGCUAGGUGGGUGGUGUGGUAAGGGGUGGGUGGUGUGGUAAGAGGUGGUGGUGGUAGUGUGGUAAGAGGUGGUGGGUGGGUGGUGUGGUAAGAGGUGGUGUGGGUGGGUGGUAUGGUAAGAGGUGGGGGUGGGUGGUGUGGUAAGAGGUGGUGGUGGUAGUGUGGUAAGAGGUGGUGUGGGUGGGUGGUAUGGUAAGAGGUGGGGGUGGGUGGAGUGGUAAGAGGUGGGGGUGGUAGUGUGGUAAGAGGUGUGGGUGGGUGGUAUGGUAAGAGGUGGGGGUGGGUGGUGUGGUAAGAGGUGGGGGUGGGUGGUGUGGUAAGAGGUGGUGGUGGUAGUGUGGUAAGAGGUGGUGUGGGUGGGUGGUAUGGUAAGAGGUGGGGGGGUGGGUGGAGUGGUAAGAGGUGGGGGUGGGUGGUGUGGUAAGAGGUGGUGGUGGUAGUGUGGUAAGAGGUGGUGUGGGUGGGUGGUAUGGUAAGAGGUGGGGGUGGGUGGAGUGGUAAGAGGUGUGGGUGGGUGGUAUGGUAAGAGGUGUGGGUGGGUGGUAUGGUAAGAGGUGGGGGUGGGUGGUGUGGUAAGAGGUGGGG
Molecule: long non-coding RNA, 1420 nt
Organism: Oncorhynchus tshawytscha (Chinook salmon)
Lineage: Eukaryota; Metazoa; Chordata; Actinopteri; Salmoniformes; Salmonidae
Source: Ensembl